UCGAGGAUCCCUUCUUUGCUUUCGUUUUGCCCUUUUUUCCGGUUCGCUUUCGCACUCUCGACAUGGCCCGCGUCCUACUGCCCCUGUGGCGCUAACCAGCCCUCUCUGCAAGUUACUCGAACGAAUGGUGUCGCCACCACGUGGAAGAAAGGCCCCAGCCACAACAGCCUCGCUUUCGCCCUCACCGCGUCCCACCGUAGGCUCUCCUCGACUUGUUUCUCCACCAGGCAGCUCAGCGCCAGCGAGGUGCCAUGAAAGGCGCAGCGCCUGUGGGCUUUGCGCUCGCACAUUCGACUCUGUACACCACGACACAACAAAAGCUCAGCGUAGACCCGCACCGUACUCGCUGGAUCAUGGAUUUCUCAGGCGAUUGUCACGUCCGCGUUCGCUUCCACGAGAAGCGACCGAAGAUGGACAGCUUUACACGCGGAACCGCACAAGGGUCUGUCCAAGGCUUUCUUCUCUCCGUCAUCGUGGUGGACUUGCCGGGUGUGCAGCGCACCAGGACACCCGAACUGCGCCACGCCUUCUGUGAUGACCACAUCACAUGGCAUCUCACCCUCUGUGGAGGCGGUGAGGGGCACUGAAGGCUGGAGGACGUCGUGGAGCUGAGCGUCCCGUAACGGAGGUGCGUAGUCUUCGGUUCGGGGCACUGCAAACGGCUGCGACCCUCCUCAGCCACGCGAGGGGGCUACCCUGCGCACUUGGCGCGGGAGGUGUGCACACCAGAUCCCGGUACCGUCGCAGCACUCUGGCAGUUCUCACACGGGAAUGCAGGCGACGACCUCUUCGGAGCCCUGCACGCAAACACACUUCCUUCAUGUGCAGCAGUCGUGUGCACCUCUCAUUUUAGCUUGCCUGCGGCCAUUGUGGGCUUGAACACAACGACAACGCUGACAAGGUAGCCGAAUCCGUCAUGCCAGAGGAGUCGGCGCCCACUGCAUGAGUGACGGACUUGGCCACCGGCCACAGACGGCAGGCCGACGUCCCCCGAAACUGGCAUGCACGAUGCAGCACGGUGCCACAAGAGAUUCUUGGCCGCAGCCGUCCCGCACCAGCUGAACGAGGACGCUGAGCUUACGAGACGAUCGUAGGUCGUGGUCGCUCAGUCCCGCACGGGCACCUGUCCGCACUUUGCUUUUCUGCAGCGGUGGGUGUCUGUCGCUUCACCUCACACCCACUGUGCCCCUUGCAGAACGGCAGGCUGUGAGCUCUUUGUGCGCCGGUGCUGUGAAGCACAGCUGGCGUGAUGUGUGUGCCAUCCAGACAAAGGCAUCCAGACAUCGGAAGGGCGAGAGUGGCUGACGAAAGGAGGCGCGAAGAGGGCCAUACGAAUCAACCCAGAAGCGCAUGCGUGCGAGAUAUGCGGCGUCCCCCACGUCCGACCGCGUCUGCACCGAUGAGGCACAGAUGCGGGAAGCAUGGAGAGAGCACCCCGACGCUCACCACCGAGCCCUCCAUGUUCCCAUGUUGCGAGCCCCCACACCGCAUUGCAGGAUGUCGCGACUGGAAGCAGCUGAGAGGGCAACGCAUGGGGCACACAGGCAGAGUGCGCAGGGUCUCGGAGGGUUCUGACCUGAAGGUGGCCAACCCCCUUCCUGAGCUCAUCCGGCGUGCGCCUGGGCCACCCCUCUACCGCCCGCAAGGCAGACGCCGCCACUGCUUCCGCCCUCGAGCAUGACUCUGGGCACGGCCCGCAUUGGAUCCAGGCAUGCAUGCCACCCAGGCCUGUGUGGCGCCCAUCGCGCAGCACGUAGCAGAGGAAGGGACGAGGAAUGGCAAGGAGAGCCGGUACGACGCAUGACCCCGAUGCCCACGGCAGGCAGUGUGUCCUUGGCGACCAGAGUGUGCUGCCGUGGUGCAGCAGAGGCAAGGUGGAGCCGUGGCUGUGCGUGCGUAUGUUUGCUGACUUGCUCGCGGGUGGCAUAUAAUGGGCACAGUGGAGAGAACAGAAUUAGCGAUCUCGUCGUGUCUGGGUAGGUACGUAUGAGGUACACAAGACGUUGCUGUGGCAGGCGCAGAGGCCGGCGGUCAGCUGUGAGAGACGGCGGUGAUCAGGGUCAGGGUGAGUAGAUGACAUCGGUGAGCCAAUAACGCUCGAGAGAGACUAGCAAGCGUGUCAACCCUCACCAGCAUUAUCAAAGAACUCAGAGGAACGCCAUAGCGAGCUCGCUCACGAAAGAUAUUCCUGCAAAGAGCGAACCCGUGGGCGUUUGAGGAACGUGUACGUUGGUGUGUUUGCUUUUUUGGUGACGCGUUUUUACUCGAAGUCGGGUGAACGUCUCACGCGCUGUUAGGCACCUGCAGUGUUUUCGUCCAGGCGAACGUGAGCGAUGGGGUGGGACGUGCUGCUGUCGCGGUGAGGCGCAUGCGCGUGUGUGUGCGUGUGGGGUGGGGGCGUUGUUGUUGCAGCCUGUGGCGCUGGUAGUGCGCGUGUCGACGAUAGGUGUGCGCGCCUCCGUUUCUCUUCGGUCGCUGUUUGUUCGUUUCUCUGACAAACGAGAUGGGAUGGACCUCAAGAGAACAUAGCCGUGCGAGAGCGUGUCUCCGCGGAAAACACGAGCACGCUUGACGCGGGUACGCUGCGAUGGAUAUCGCGUCUUUCUUUGACACGUAGACAUCCCCCGAUAGCAUCGGGGGACGCCCCUCUCCGUGUGUGGUAUCCAGUGCUCAAUAGUCUCACUCUGUGUAGGGAAGUCCAACACCCCUCUCCUUAUCUCUGCCAAAUGCCGAACCUCUUCUGGUGGUGACAGGGUCAGGCACCCGCGACGUAGGGAGGUGAGAGCGACUCACUGUUACGGAUGUCGGCGGCCAGGCCCUGGAUGGCGUGGCGUGGGAGCGACCUGCGACAGCGAACACGCUUGUGCCAUCCAUGUGCUAGGCAGAGCGUCAUGGUGACUCGAACGCAUCCCAUCCGGCCCUCGCACUGGCCACUGGUGGUAGGCAGCCUGCGUGCCGCCCCGAGGCGGAUGCACCAAGGGUGGCGACCGGCACGGUGGGGGAGCGGCUGUGCGGCUGCCUGCGACGCGUGUGCUGAGGGCAGAGGUUUGGGGCAGAGGCCGUGCUCAGAUGGCUGAGUCGGGUGCACUGCUGCAACGCGCGUGUCUACGUCUGCUCCGCACCACGCGGAUGGGGCCCAUGGUCGGGCCGGGGGCCGAGUGCCGCUUCGCUCAUGUCACAUGGCAGAGAGUGGACACGUCGAAGAAGAAAAAAUGUGCAGACAGCCCUUGGGGGGGGGGGGUCCCUCGCUUCUCUCCGACGCCCUCAUUUUUUCCUCCUCCCGAGGACGUUGCACGGGUGCAAGAGAGAGGGCGAUGAAAACGCACAGCGAGGGGCGAAUGCUCAUCGGCAAAGCCAAGUGUAGAGGCAGCUGGGCUCCGUGGGGCGAACUGCUCGCCCGGCCCCCUUCCUCUUCUUCUCGCCUUCGACUUGUUUCAAUGCAGCUCACUUGUGCCCAU
RNAcentral lists this unclassified non-coding RNA (3458 nucleotides) under Leishmania donovani. Its description in RNAcentral is "gene:unknown". The record is from RNAcentral. Lineage: Eukaryota; Euglenozoa; Kinetoplastea; Trypanosomatida; Trypanosomatidae.